This 1001-nucleotide ribosomal RNA is filed under the name uncultured organism. RNAcentral describes it as "bacterial SSU rRNA". It matches the Rfam family "Bacterial small subunit ribosomal RNA", at positions 38 to 1034 of the family's 1533-position model. The record is from RNAcentral.
AGCGGCAGGCUUAAUACAUGCAAGUCGAACGGUAACAGGCGGUAGCAAUACUGCGCUGACGAGUGGCGCACGGGUGCGUAACACGUAUGCAACCUACCCUUAACUGGGGAAUAACCCUGUGAAAGCGGGGCUAAUACCCCAUAAUAUUAUGGUAAGGCAUCUUACUAUUAUCAAAGAUUUAUCGGUUAGGGAUGGGCAUGCGCCCCAUUAGUUAGUUGGUUAGGUAACGGCUAACCAAGACUGUGAUGGGUAGGGGUUCUGAGAGGAUUAUCCCCCACACUGGUACUGAGACACGGACCAGACUCCUACGGGAGGCAGCAGUAAGGAAUAUUGGGCAAUGGACGCAAGUCUGACCCAGCCAUGCCGCGUGCAGGAAGACGGCCUUAUGGGUUGUAAACUGCUUUUGUAUGGGAUUAAAGUGUUGUACGUGUACGACAUCGCAAGUACCAUACGAAUAAGCAUCGGCUAACUCCGUGCCAGCAGCCGCGGUAAUACGGAGGAUGCAAGCGUUAUCCGGAAUCAUUGGGUUUAAAGGGUGCGUAGGUUGAUUAUUAAGUCAGUGGUGAAAAUUCCGGGCUCAACCCGGGACUUGCCGUUGAAACUGAUAAUCUUGAGUGUAACUGAUGUGGGCGGAAUGUGUCAAGUAGCGGUGAAAUGCAUAGAUAUGACACAGAACACCGAUAGCGAAGGCAGCUCACAAAAUUACAACUGACACUGAGGCACGAAAGCGUGGGUAUCAAACAGGAUUAGAUACCCUGGUAGUCCACGCUGUAAACGAUGAUCACUAGCUGUUUGCGAUACAUUGUAAGUGGUUAAGCGAAAGCGAUAAGUGAUCCACCUGGGGAGUACGUCGGCAACGAUGAAACUCAAAGGAAUUGACGGGGGCCCGCACAAGCGGAGGAGCAUGUGGUUUAAUUCGAUGAUACGCGAGGAACCUUACCUGGGCUUGAACGUAUGGUGCAUGAGUGUGAAAGCACUCUUUCCUUCACAGGACUUCAUAC